RNAcentral lists this unclassified non-coding RNA (718 nucleotides) under Hevea brasiliensis (rubber tree). Lineage: Eukaryota; Viridiplantae; Streptophyta; Magnoliopsida; Malpighiales; Euphorbiaceae. The record is from RNAcentral.
GAAGGUCUAGGAUUUAGAAUUGAUCAAAUAGUACGGGCAUGGAAUGAGAUGUAUGAAGCAAAACGGUGGGAAAGAGGCGUCCCUUCUUUCAGGUUGGAACCGUUGCUUAGGCGGCGAGUUUCCAAGCUGUAUCAUGCCCUUGAAUUAGCAUGAGUUCUGGUUAUGGUGUCAGAGGAAUCAAGAAAGAAACUCACUAUUACUGUUGUUGUUGCACUCAGUCUACGCUAUGCUCGCUGGGAAGGGAUUGUUUGUGCAUCAGCUGUUAAUACAGGUUUUGGAAUUUGGACCUUGUGGCACUAUCAUACUAAGGAUUGUAUUACCUGUUUUCGUUCCAUCGCUUUUUACAGUAUCACAAAGGAAUUAAAGAAAAGAGAAGUUUUUAUCUCUUUUCCUUUAUAUGGAGAUGAAGAGGCAGAAACAUGUUUUUCUUUAUUUUUGCCUUGUCGUUGUCUUGCCCAGUGCUGUGCUGCAGGUUCCUCAAAGCCAGUAGCGAAUCGGUUUAUGUAGUUUUCAGUUAUUCUCCUUUUGGCUCAUGGAAGGGUCCUAAAGGCAUUCUUUUCUUAUAGGAAUUUCUUUGUUAGGAGAACUUUUUGUUGUCACCAAGAUUGGCUUGUAGUACUGUUUUGUGUCAGUUUAGCCUUACUGUAUGUUUUUCUUAAGAGAUUUCACAAUUAGCGUCCUAGAUAGAGUUCUUGCAUUGUAUUGAUGUAACAUUAUU